Molecule: ribosomal RNA, 253 nt
Filed under: uncultured bacterium
Lineage: Bacteria
Description: partial 16S ribosomal RNA
Rfam family: Bacterial small subunit ribosomal RNA
Source: RNAcentral
UACGGAGGGCGCGAGCGUUAAUCGGAAUUACUGGGCGUAAAGCGCGCAUAGGCUGUUGUGUAAGUUGGGGGUGAAAUCCCACGGCUCAACCGUGGAACAGCCCUUGAUACUGCGCGACUUGAAUCCGGGAGAGGGUGGCGGAAUUCCAGGUGUAGGAGUGAAAUCCGUAGAUAUCUGGAGGAACAUCAGUGGCGAAGGCGGCCACCUGGACCGGUAUUGACGCUGAGGCGCGAAAGCGUGGGGAGCAAACAGG